RNAcentral lists this ribosomal RNA (301 nucleotides) under uncultured bacterium. Its description in RNAcentral is "partial 16S ribosomal RNA". It matches the Rfam family "Bacterial small subunit ribosomal RNA", at positions 509 to 807 of the family's 1533-position model. The record is from RNAcentral.
CAGCAGCCGCGGUAAUACGAAGGGGGCUAGCGUUGUUCGGAAUUACUGGGCGUAAAGGGUGCGUAGGCGGCUUGACAAGUCUUGUGUGAAAUCUAUGGGCUCAACCCAUAGUCUGCACGGGAAACUGUCGGGCUUGAGAAUGGGAGAGGUGAGUGGAAUUUCCGGUGUAGCGGUGAAAUGCGUAGAUAUCGGAAGGAACACCUGUGGCGAAAGCGGCUCACUGGACCAUUUCUGACGCUGAUGCACGAAAGCUAGGGGAGCAAACAGGAUUAGAUACCCGAGUAGUCCCUGUCUCUUAUAC